Molecule: RNA transcript, 4056 nt
Organism: Gadus chalcogrammus (walleye pollock)
Lineage: Eukaryota; Metazoa; Chordata; Actinopteri; Gadiformes; Gadidae
Gene: susd1
Gene name: sushi domain containing 1
Exons: 20
Source: RefSeq, a predicted model, not a curated record
CAGCAGCACAAGCAAACCACAAUAACCCAACCGUUUGAACAGGAUGUCCACCAAAGCCACAAAACCCAGAUUCCAGGGCGGGCGUUGAGAGGGGAAACGAGCUGCAGCUCCUGAUCCUGCUUAUCAGGACCGCCAGCAGCACUGGGCCUGAGGAGAAGACCAGGAUAAAACAGAUGUUUUCACAGAGACGAAGAUGAUUGAGAGUUAAAGACGCCGGGACACUCUCAGAACGGAGGAUGGACCGAGGACACGUGAUCUGGAUCGUUCUGCUUUCUGUUAUCCCAGCAGGCAGGCCGGCGGGGGAUAUCUGUGCCUCGUGUCACGCCAACGCCACGUGCUCAUUCCUGCCGGACGGCUCGGGCCGUGUAUGCAUCUGCAUGUACGGCUUCAUCGGGAACGGGAGGACCCUCUGCCAAGACAAAGACGAAUGUCAGAUCGGAGCGAGGAACAUCUGUGGCCCCCGCGCCGCCUGCCACAACACCGUGGGCAGCUAUACCUGCACCUGUAUGGGGGGCUUCAGACCCUCGAACCACAGGACCUCCUUCACCCCGAACGACGGGACGUACUGCCAGGACAUUGAUGAGUGCGGGAGGCACCCUGCGGUGUGUGGAGAGGGGGCGCACUGUGUCAACCUGGAGGGGGACUUUGAGUGCCGCUGCCUCCUAGGUUACAGAGCGCACAACGCCUCAGAUCCCUUCCAGCCCCUCAGGGACAAGGGCUCCUGCAAGGUGGUGGACUGUGGCCCCCCUCCCGCCGGAGAGGCAGUGCGGGUGCUGUCCACCAACGGCACCGCCUACGGCAGCGUGGUCCUCAUGGGCUGCAAGGAUGGCUUCCUGUGGAGACGGGGAGACAACUCAUCCACAUGUGGGCCGGACGGAACCUGGAGCCGGCCAGCCCCGCUUUGUCAAGCAGGCAGGCCGGCGGGGGAUAUCUGUGCCUCGUGUCACGCCAACGCCACGUGCUCAAUCCUGCCGGACGGCUCGGGCCGUGUAUGCAUCUGCAUGUACGGCUUCAUCGGGAACGGGAGGACCCUCUGCCAAGACAAAGACGAAUGUCAGAUCGGAGCGAGGAAGAUCUGUGGCCCCCGCGCCUCCUGCCAAAACACCGUGGGCAGCUAUACCUGCACCUGUAUGGGGGGCUUCAGACCCUCGAACCACAGGACCUCCUUCACCCCCAACGACGGGACAUACUGCCAGGACAUUGAUGAGUGCGGGAGGCACCCUGCGGUGUGUGGAGAGGGGGCGCACUGUGUCAACCUGGAGGGGGACUUUGAGUGCCGCUGCCUCCUAGGUUACAGAGCGCACAACGCCUCAGAUCCCUUCCAGCCCCUCAGGGACAAGGGCUCCUGCAAGUUGGUGGACUGUGGCCCCCCUCCCGCCGGAGAGGCAGUGCGGGUGCUGUCCACCAACGGCACCGCCUACGGCAGCGUGGUCCUCAUGGGCUGCAAGGAUGGCUUCCUGUGGAGACGGGGAGACAACUCAUCCACAUGUGGGCCGGACGGAACCUGGAGCCGGCCAGCCCCGCUUUGUCAAGACAUUGAUGAGUGCGGGAGGCACCCUGCGGUGUGUGGAGAGGGGGCGCGCUGUGUCAACCUGGAGGGGGACUUUGAGUGCCGCUGCCUCCUAGGUUACAGAGCGCACAACGCCUCAGAUCCCUUCCAGCCCCUCAGGGACAAGGGCUCCUGCAAGGUGGUGGACUGUGGCCCCCCUCCCGCCGGAGAGGCAGUGCGGGUGCUGUCCACCAACGGCACCGCCUACGGCAGCGUGGUCCUCAUGGGCUGCAAGGAUGGCUUCCUGUGGAGACGGGGAGACAACUCAUCCACAUGUGGGCCGGACGGAACCUGGAGCCGGCCAGCCCCGCUUUGUCAAGAAAUCCAAUGUGGAGAACCUUUAUCUAAACCGCAUGCAAGGAUGUUGUGGGACAACGGUACCCGCGUGGGCAGCGUGCUGCACUACCAGUGUGAGGAGGGCUACCGCCCCUCCACCAACCGCCACUCCCCCUCCACCAACCGCUCCGUGUGCGGAGAGGACGGACAGUGGGAGGAGUCAGACCUGCGCUGUGAAGCUAGGUGUAGGCUCACUCCAUCGCUGGCCCAUGCGGAGGUGGCCUGGUACAACAGUAGCGUGACCGUGCAUCGCUGCGUGGACGGAUACCGCAGCAGCAGAGGGAGCAGCGUCUCUGUUUGUGGCAAUGCUGGGCAGUGGCAGAAGGCAACACUGAAGUGCAUAGAAAUCCAAUGUGGAGAACCUUUAUCUAAACCGCAUGCAAGGAUGCUGUGGGACAACGGUACCCGCGUGGGCAGCGUGCUGCACUACCAGUGUGAGGAGGGCUACCGCCCCUCCACCAACCGCCACUCCCCCUCCACCAACCGCUCCGUGUGCGGAGAGGACGGACAGUGGGAGGAGUCAGACCUGCGCUGUGAAGCUAGGUGUGGGCCCGCUCCAUCGCUUGCCAAUGCGGAGGUGGCCUGGUACAACAGUAGCGUGACCGUGCAUCGCUGCGUGGACGGAUACCGCAGCAGCAGAGGGAUCAGCGUCUCUGUGUGUGGCAAUGCUGGGCAGUGGCAGAAAGCAACGCUGAAGUGCACAGAAGUUAAACCAGCUGUGAAUGACCUGCGCGUCUUUAAUGAAAAGUGUCUGCAGUGGAGGGCAGAGAAGAAUGACGUAGACAAGGAGAUUUAUAAGGUGGUGUUCAGAGGCACCAGAGACUACCAGGGGGCUUUCCGCCAUGAGAAGAGGCAACUCCUCCACUCUUGGGACAAGUGGGUGGAUGUCUGUCUCAGUCUCCUGCCUGCCACCAACUACACCAUCUCCGUCAUUGCGUUAUCCACCAGAUUCACUGCCAACAUCACCACCAGCACCAGCCUACAAGUGCCUCAGGCUCCGCUAGUCCUCUACCGAGAGCUGGACGCUCCCCCCGCCACCUUGAGGCUCAGGCGCUCAGCUCACACUUUAGACGCCAUCAGUGUGUACCAGGUGGUCGUGGUGCCUUUAGACGGGACUGUAGUGUUCGACUGCAGAUCCCGGGGGAUACCUGGCUCCGCUCAGGGGGUGCCCCCGUCCAGCCAGUACAUCACAGGGCAGUUCCCUCUCGGCCACAUGAACGACACGGAGAUGAUUUUCACCGUCGGGGACGGACGGUUCCACGGCGGCUUCCUUAAUGCGCCACUCAAGAGAGGAACAAGCUACUACGUCAUUCUGCGAGUGGUCAGCCAGUGGAAAGAGGCGGGUCAUUCGAUGGGAUUCAAGUCAACUCUUGAAUUUUUCGUCAAAAUAUCCAAGUCAUUUGGAGUCAUAAAAAGUUUUAUUUAAAAUAGUAACUGAUGACUGAUUAUUUUUAGGACACUUCUUGACAGUAAAACAUUUUAUUUCAUUUAAGAGCAUGAUCAUGGGAAGAUACAGGCAGCAGUUUACCAAGCAUCUUGAAGGAGACGAUUGGUAGACAUGAUUCUGAUAGGGAGACAGAGGCAACAGAGGGGAGAGGAGUGACCAGGAUGGAGAGCUUAAGAUUGGCCACGGCUGAGGUCAGCAAUGGCGGGAGAGACAAGUUAAAUUGCACUACGGAUAUGGACAUGUCUCCAAGGCUGCAAGCAAGGCUGCAAGACGGUUAAAGGAAUCUACACAACAAAGAAGUCAGCAGAUUGGCCUCAGCAUCAGACCCGUGGCUACUGUGAAAUUGCAAAUUAUCUAAACACCUAUCAGUUAGAGAAAGGAAGGGAGAUAGAUAUCUCAAGAUCCAAGGGGAAUGAGUGCAAAUACAUUUGAAAUUGACUAGUAACUAUAUCAACAAGGUUUAUAUAAUUUGGCUAUGCUAUAUAUUUAUAAUUAUGAUUCAGGUUUUGUAGUUAUAAAUUUUACUUAGGAUUAAUAUUUCCACAACAGUAAUAUGGAAAGGGUAUGUUAAUAGUAAAAGGGUAAAAACUUUGGAAUGAAAUUAACUUAAAUAUUAAAAUUUUCAGGCUUUCAACAGCUCCUGUGUUCUCUGGGCGAAAGUAACAGUUUGAUAUGUAUCCAACCCAGGUACAUCAUAUGUCAUGAGAGUGUCCUCGCUGUUGGC